CCUCUAGAGUGCUAGGAUUACAGUCCUGUCUAGAGCUGGAACAUGCUAUGAAACCGACAGAAGAUUGUCUCCCACCGCCUUCUCAAGAGUACACCAGAACCUUAGACCAUGUCUCUUUGUGUGAGUCAAUCUUCCUUGUCAGCUUGCUGGGAUUUAGAAUUCUGCGGAAACACGCACCUAAGCAUGUCUGCGAGGGUGUUUCUGAGGAGGCUUAACUGAGGUAGAAAGACCCACCCUGACUAUGAGCAGCCGCAUCCUGUGGGCUGGAGUCCAGCAUGCUGAAGAAGGAAAGAGUAAGCUGGAAAACAAUGCUCAUCCCUCUCUGUGUCCUGACCUCGGAUGCUGUGUGACCAACCACCUUGAGCUUCUGCCACCAUUACCUCUCACCUUGAUGGACUGAAUCCUCACACUGAAACCCCACCCUCCAAGUGAGCAGAGUCAGAGAUCCACAAGGACCUGCCCUGAGACUCCCUGUGGCCUGCACACAGUAGAAUAAACUUCCAUGUGUUCCUGGGCCCUCACCAGCAACACCCAGCAUGCCCCACACUGAACCCCAAGGGAACCAGGAUGACCCUACAGGCAAUGAGGGACACAAGAGCAAGAAGGAUCACUGGUGAGCU
Long non-coding RNA from Arvicanthis niloticus (Nile rat), 620 nucleotides. RefSeq lists it as uncharacterized. Lineage: Eukaryota; Metazoa; Chordata; Mammalia; Rodentia; Muridae. The record is from RefSeq and is a predicted model, not a curated record.